This is a long non-coding RNA of Oncorhynchus nerka (sockeye salmon), 4515 nucleotides long. RefSeq lists it as uncharacterized. The record is from RefSeq and is a predicted model, not a curated record. NCBI's taxonomy places the organism in Eukaryota, Metazoa, Chordata, Actinopteri, Salmoniformes, Salmonidae. The transcript has 3 exons.
AAAAAACAUGAAACAUUUAGAAUGUGUCUGAUAGAACAUGGAACCUUUAGAAUGUGUCGUCUGAUGGUACACAGACCUUUAGAAUGUUGCAGAUAGAAUAUGGAACCUUUAGAAUGUUGCAGAUAGAACAUGGAACCUUUAGAAUGUUGCCAUAUUUAUAUCUGCAGCAACGCUCUGAAUAUCUGUUGAACAACAUGUCAUGUCUAGUGGGUGGGGUUAUAUCCUUCCUGUUUGGCCCUGUCCGGGGGUAUCAUCGGAUGGGGCCACAGUGUCUCCUGACCCCUCCUGUCUCAGCCUCCAGUAUUUAUGCUGCAGUAGUUUAUGUGUCGGGGGGCUAGGAUCAGUUUGUUAUAUCUAGAGUACUUUUCCUGUCUUAUCCGGUGUCCUGUGUGAAUUUAAGUAUGCUCUCUCUUUCUUUCUCUCUCUCGGAGGACCUGAGCUCUAGGACCAUGCCCCAGGACUACCUGGCAUGAUGACUGCUUGCUGUCCCCAGUCCACCUGGCCGUGCUGCUGCUCCAGUUUCAACUGUUCUGCCUGCGGCUAUGGAAUCCUGACCUGUUCACCGGACGUGCUACCUGUCCCAGACCUGCUGUUUUCAACUCUCUAGAGACAGCAGGAGUGGUAGAGAUACUUUUAAUGAUUGGUUAUGAAAAGGCAACUGACAUUUAGUCCUGAGGUGCUGACCUGUUGCAACCUCGACAACUACUGUGGUUAUUAUUAUUAUUUGACCAUGCUGGUCAUUUAUGAGCAUUUGAACAUCUUGGCCAUGUUCUGUAAUAAUCUCCACCCGGCACAGCCAGAAGAAGACACCCCUCAUAGCCUGGUUCCUCUCUAGGUUUCUUGCUAGGUUUUGGCCUUUCUAGGGAGUUUUUCCUAGCCACCGUGUUUCUACACCUGCAUUGCUUGCUGUUUGGGGUUUUAGGCUGGGUGUCUGUACAGCACUUUGAGAUAUCAGCUGAUGUACGAAGGGCUAUAUAAAUACAUUUGACUUGAUUUGAUUAGUCAUGACACUAUUUGGUGUUCUUGCCUCUUGGAUGACAGACUGUGCAAACUCCCAACUGAUGGAGAGACAAGACAACCUGGGUUGGAGUCCUCUAUUCUCCAUCAGAGCCUGCUGUCUAUAGUUUUGUUUCUUUGUUAUCUCAGUCUCAUGUUUAGUUGCUGCAUCCCAAGAGAUGUCAGGAAGCCGCCCUUCAAACUCCCUGGCCAGUGGUGGCAGGGCUGGCAUCGGUCCUGCCGCCUGGCUCUGUUGGUUUAACAUAGCCUGGCCCAGACACCCAGCCUGACCCCAGCUACCGACCCAGUACUCACUCUCACAGUGCCAGAGCAUGGCUUUCACAACAACCACACUGAAUAAUAAUAACACUAUAUGCCACUGUGCAGACACUUUCAUCCAAAUUGACUUACAGCAUAGGACAGUUCUUACAUUUUGUGUAGGCCUUUGUAAUCCCUGUGGGAAUUGAACCCACAACCUUGGGUUUGGAUAGUGUCCUGCUCUUACCAAUAGAGCAACACAGUACUUCAAUUCCAGCCAUGCAGUUAUCAAGCAUCAUUCCUUGAACAUUCUCAGAAGUAGAACAUUUUGGCAGACAUGUUCUGCGGUUUGACAUCUUUAUAAUGUGUGGAAGAAGAAGCAGCAUGGUCCCUGUCACAGUGUAGAUGUAGAUCACUGUCCCCCUCCAGCUAAUGAGCACCCUUCAACUAGGGAUGUUUCUGGAUGACAUUUUAAGUACUGUGAAAGACAAAUAUAUGAGGCUACUAAUGCCACCAACAUGUGUCCUAUUGUCAAUUUAGGUUGGUAAUUGCAAUAACCUAUACUCAUAUUUCUUUCCAUCAAUCCGUUUGACAACAGUGUGAUGGUCGGUGCGCUUCAUAAAAAUUCAGUGUCCCAGUGCAGCCCCUUGUGCAGGUUUGAAUCGAUUCGAGCAGGUUGAUCACGGUGGCUCUCUCCUGCUUUAGGACUAAACCGGGGAUUAAAAAGGUUGCCCACCGGACUAUGUAUUUCAGAGCAAAUUAGCUGACUAUUACUGUGAUUCAUUGUAUUUAAAUAAGAAUCAAGGGACGGUUUAAUUGAUUUGAAACUAUGUUAUGUAACAUUCGUGUCAAAUGCACUGUAGGCUAUUGAACAUCAAGUCAUUUCCAGAGAGAAAUUUGUUGUAGGCAAAUGAAAAUCGCAUGUGUUGUAUGUUGUGUUGCAGAUCGAAAUGCUUUUUAAAAAAAAUGAUGAUGGGUAACCCUGUCAUUUUGAUGAUGAGCUCAGGGUUGUUUGUGCUUUUAAAUUAAUCAAUCCAUUGAUCUGGGAGCAUUAACUAGUUCUCAGAAUAAUUCUCAGGAAUUAUACAUUUAUAAUAACAUAUUUACAAUGAAAUAUUUGAUAUGAAAUGAAUCAAUUGAAAUGGAAUUCAAGAAAUGUAAAACUUUUUGGGAAUUAAAUGGGGAAAAUUUCAGAAGAAAAAAUGGUGUUUGACCAUAUCCUGCAAAUUACUGCUAUAGAGGCAAAAGGUAACUGAGGAUAACUUGGCAUCAGAAUCCAUUCUAUCGGGUGAAUGAAACAGAGGAUCUGACAGAGAGCAGUGGUUCUGGUUCCCUGGAUAGUCAUUAUGUUACACCUGCAGUUAUUCCCUCACUGGAGACUUCAUGUGCAACCUGUUCCUAUAAACUAUUACACUGGCCCAAAUUGAUCUGGCAUUAAUUAAUGUUUUGUAUUAUGGUGUUGGCGCCCAUCUAGUGUGUACAUAAGUCAUAACACUCUUCAGUGUGUGUGUGUAUGUGUGUAUAUAUAUAUAUAUAUACACUACUCAAAAAAAUAAAGGGAACACUUAAACAACACAUUGUAACUCCAAGUCAAUCACACUUCUGUGAAAUCAAACUGUCCACUUAGGAAGCAACACUGAUUGACAAUCAAUUUCACAUGCUGUUGUGCAAAUGGAAUAGACAACAGGUGAAAAUUAUAGGCAAUUAGCAAGACACCCCCAAUAAAGGAGUGGUUCUGCAGGUGGUGACCACAGACCACUUCUCAGUUCCUAUGCUUCCUGGCUGAUGUUUUGGUCACUUUUGAAUGCUGGCUGUGCUUUCACUCUAGCGGUAGCAUGAGACGGAGUCUACAACCCACACAAGUGGCUCAGGUAGUGCAGCUCAUCCAGGAUGGAACAUCAUUGCGAGCUGUGGCAAGAAGGUUUGCUGUGUCUGUCAGCGUAGUGUCCAGAGCAGGCCAGUACAUCAGGAGACGUGGAGGAGGCCGUAGGAGGGCAACAACCCAGCAGCAGGACCGCUACCUCCGCCUUUGUGCAAGGAGGAGCAGGAGGAGCACUGCCAGAGCCCUGCAAAAUGACCUCCAGCAGGCCUCAAAUGUGCAUGUGUCUGCUCAAACGGUCAGAAACAGACUCCAUGAGGGUGGUAUGAGGGCCCAACGUCCACAGGAGGGGGUUGUGCUUACAGCCCAACACCGUGCAGGACGUUUGGCAUUUACCAGAGAACACCAAGAUUGGCAAAUUCGCCACUGGCGCCCUGUGCUCUUCACAGAUGAAAGCAGGUUCACACUGAGCACAUGUGACAGACAUGACAGAGUCUGGAGACGCCGUGGAGAACGUUCUGCUGCCUGCAACAUCCUCCAGCAUGACCGGUUUGGCGGUGGGUCAGUUAUGGUGUGGGGUGGCAUUUGGAUCAGCCUGUAGUGUGGUUUUCCACUUUAAUUUUGAGUGUGACUCCAAAUCCAGACCGUGAGACAGCGGCUGACAGCCUGAGGGUGACGUCGCUGAUGACCGACAGCGUGGACCAUCCCUGCAGCCCCAGUGCUGCGGCCGAGGCCAAGAACCACAACAUUUGUCUGUUCACCAUCAGGCUGUCAGACUACCCAGGCAGGGACUGGCCCACCAACGCCAGGCUACGUUCCAUCGCCAGCACCCCGCCACAACCUGCUGGAGGAUAAAUUGGAACAUACAUUACUGAGCACUGAGUGUGAGCUAUUAUUGUUUAGAAUGUGCUUGUCAACACAGGGGUAAGUCCCUUUUUUUGUAACCAUCCAUUGGGAAUGUAAAGAUAAUUAUCUCUGAGGUGUAUGUUUAAAUGUUGCUUCUCUUACAUCGCGUGAUGUAUUGUUGUCUCUACCUUCUUGCCCUUUGUGCUGUUGUCUGUGCCCAACAAUGUUUGUACCAUGUUUGUGCUGCUGCCAUGUUGUGUUGCUACCGUGUUGUUGUCAUGUUGUGUUGCUACCAUUCUGUGUUGUUGUGUUAGGUCUCUUUAUGUAGUUUUGCGGUGUCUCUUGUCGUGAUGUGUGUUUUGGUUGUUUUUAACUGACUAGUUAAAUAAAGGUUCAAUAAAAAAUCAAUAAAAUAAUUAUCUUGGUUUCUGUGCCCACAGCCCAAGUCUUGUCUGUGUGAUAUAGGAGAGAGAGGUCUCCCUGGAAGCCUAGAGAUGACAUGGGUUCAAGGUUCAAAGGUGACAAGGGUGACCAGGGCUUCCCAGGGUAGUACGGACCACGGGGAGAAAGAGGAGUCAUGGAUCCAGGGCCAAAGG